RNAcentral lists this ribosomal RNA (1399 nucleotides) under uncultured bacterium. RNAcentral describes it as "16S ribosomal RNA". It matches the Rfam family "Bacterial small subunit ribosomal RNA". The record is from RNAcentral.
AGAGUUUGAUCCUGGCUCAGGAUGAACGCUAGCGACAGGCUUAACACAUGCAAGUCGAGGGGCAGCAGGGGAGUAGCAAUACUCCCGCUGGCGACCGGCGCACGGGUGAGUAACACGUAUGCAACCUGCCCUUGUCAGGGGGAUAAGCGGAAGAAAUUCCGUCUAAUACCGCAUAAUGCUGCGGGGAGACAUCUCCCUGCAGCCAAAGAUUUAUCGGACAAGGAUGGGCAUGCGGCGCAUUAGCUUGUUGGCGGGGUAACGGCCCACCAAGGCGACGAUGCGUAGGGGUUCUGAGAGGAAGGUCCCCCACACUGGUACUGAGACACGGACCAGACUCCUACGGGAGGCAGCAGUGAGGAAUAUUGGUCAAUGGCCGGGAGGCUGAACCAGCCAAGUCGCGUGAGGGAAGACGGUCCUAUGGAUUGUAAACCUCUUUUGUCAGGGAGCAAAAACUGCCACGUGUGGCAGGAUGAGAGUACCUGAAGAAAAAGCAUCGGCUAACUCCGUGCCAGCAGCCGCGGUAAUACGGAGGAUGCGAGCGUUAUCCGGAUUUAUUGGGUUUAAAGGGUGCGUAGGCGGACAGUUAAGUCAGCGGUAAAAUUGAGAGGCUCAACCUCUUCCCGCCGUUGAAACUGAUUGUCUUGAGUGGGCGAGAAGUAUGCGGAAUGCGUGGUGUAGCGGUGAAAUGCAUAGAUAUCACGCAGAACUCCGAUUGCGAAGGCAGCAUACCGGCGCCCAGCUGACGCUGAAGCACGAAAGCGUGGGUAUCGAACAGGAUUAGAUACCCUGGUAGUCCACGCAGUAAACGAUGAAUACUAAUUGUUCGGGUCAAAUGAGAUCUGAGUGAUACAGCGAAAGCGUUAAGUAUUCCACCUGGGGAAUACGCCGGCAACGGUGAAACUCAAAGGAAUUGACGGGGGCCCGCACAAGCGGAGGAACAUGUGGUUUAAUUCGAUGAUACGCGAGGAACCUUACCCGGGCUCAAACGACACAGGAAUGAUCUGAGAAAUCAGGCAGUCCUCCGGGACCUGUGUCGAGGUGCUGCAUGGUUGUCGUCAGCUCGUGCCGUGAGGUGUCGGCUUAAGUGCCAUAACGAGCGCAACCCCCAUCGACAGUUGCCAGCAGGUCAAGCUGGGCACUCUGUCGAGACUGCCGGCGCAAGCUGUGAGGAAGGCGGGGAUGACGUCAAACCAGCACGGCCCUUACGUCCGGGGCGACACACGUGUUACAAUGGCAGGUACAGCGGGAAGCCACCCGGCGACAGGGAGCGGAACCCGAAAGCCUGUCUCAGUUCGGAUUGGAGUCUGCAACUCGACUCCAUGAAGCUGGAUUCGCUAGUAAUCGCGGAUCAGAACGCCGCGGUGAAUACGUUCCCGGGUCUUGCACACACCGCCCGUCA